RNAcentral lists this transfer RNA (72 nucleotides) under Danionella translucida. It matches the Rfam family "tRNA". Rfam says of the family: Transfer RNA (tRNA) molecules are approximately 80 nucleotides in length. Their secondary structure includes four short double-helical elements and three loops (D, anti-codon, and T loops). Further hydrogen bonds mediate the characteristic L-shaped molecular structure. tRNAs have two regions of fundamental functional importance: the anti-codon, which is responsible for specific mRNA codon recognition, and the 3' end, to which the tRNAs corresponding amino acid is attached (by aminoacyl-tRNA synthetases). tRNAs cope with the degeneracy of the genetic code in two manners: having more than one tRNA (with a specific anti-codon) for a particular amino acid; and 'wobble' base-pairing, i.e. permitting non-standard base-pairing at the 3rd anti-codon position. RNAcentral also lists the same sequence under 1 other name. Lineage: Eukaryota; Metazoa; Chordata; Actinopteri; Cypriniformes; Danionidae. The record is from Rfam by way of RNAcentral.
GUCUCUGUGGCGCAAUCGGUUAGCGCUCGGCUGUUAACUGAAAGGUUGGUGGUUCAAGCCCACCCAGGGACG